CGUGCCUAAUACAUGCAAGUCGAGCGAACAGACGAGGAGCUUGCUCCUCUGACGUUAGCGGCGGACGGGUGAGUAACACGUGGAUAACCUACCUAUAAGACUGGGAUAACUUCGGGAAACCGGAGCUAAUACCGGAUAAUAUAUUGAACCGCAUGGUUCAAUAGUGAAAGACGGUUUUGCUGUCACUUAUAGAUGGAUCCGCGCCGCAUUAGCUAGUUGGUAAGGUAACGGCUUACCAAGGCAACGAUGCGUAGCCGACCUGAGAGGGUGAUCGGCCACACUGGAACUGAGACACGGUCCAGACUCCUACGGGAGGCAGCAGUAGGGAAUCUUCCGCAAUGGGCGAAAGCCUGACGGAGCAACGCCGCGUGAGUGAUGAAGGUCUUCGGAUCGUAAAACUCUGUUAUUAGGGAAGAAUAAACGUGUAAGUAACUAUGCACGUCUUGACGGUACCUAAUCAGAAAGCCACGGCUAACUACGUGCCAGCAGCCGCGGUAAUACGUAGGUGGCAAGCGUUAUCCGGAAUUAUUGGGCGUAAAGCGCGCGUAGGCGGUUUUUUAAGUCUGAUGUGAAAGCCCACGGCUCAACCGUGGAGGGUCAUUGGAAACUGGAAAACUUGAGUGCAGAAGAGGAAAGUGGAAUUCCAUGUGUAGCGGUGAAAUGCGCAGAGAUAUGGAGGAACACCAGUGGCGAAGGCGACUUUCUGGUCUGUAACUGACGCUGAUGUGCGAAAGCGUGGGGAUCAAA
This 747-nucleotide ribosomal RNA is filed under the name uncultured Staphylococcus sp. Its description in RNAcentral is "bacterial SSU rRNA". It matches the Rfam family "Bacterial small subunit ribosomal RNA", at positions 43 to 772 of the family's 1533-position model. Lineage: Bacteria; Bacillati; Bacillota; Bacilli; Caryophanales; Staphylococcaceae. The record is from RNAcentral.